Gallus gallus (chicken) is the source of this 1099-nucleotide long non-coding RNA. The record is from Ensembl. NCBI's taxonomy places the organism in Eukaryota, Metazoa, Chordata, Aves, Galliformes, Phasianidae.
UCCGGUUUACUUAUCUAAAUUCAACACAGGAUUGCCAUACCUAACAGUGAAUCUAUCGACUGUAUUUUAAUCUAUGAGUAAGCAACUGCUGCCUUUCUUCCACCAGUCCUACAGAAGGAGUUCAGAUGAUGAAUUUGAAAUAAAUAGACUUGUUGUAAGUGACUGGAGCUAGGUGCAGUGAACCCCAUCUCUUCUGACCAUGUUAUUAUACUGACACAGUGGGGAAAUAGCGUAGUUGAAAACCACAGCAAUAUUUUCAGCUGUCGUUAGUGACCAUACACAACACCACAGUGUCUUAUCAAAAUAAUGAAUUCAGUUAAGCCGAGGCUAUCUCUGUAGAAAACAGGAAUGUGCAAUCUCCCCUGUGGCUGUUCACUCUUCACCAGCCAUUACCCAAUUUGCUAAGCACUCUCAUACCUCCUCCUGCCUCAGAUCAGUUACUUGUCGCUGUGCUGAGCCUUCUCUCCAUGACUGCUCCAGGCCUUCCCCUCCCACCAACUGUGCUGGAUGCUUCCACGAGAACAAGCUGAAAGCCAAUGCCAAGCUUCAGCAUUUGGAAAACAAAAGCUGAGGUGUAAUUGCAGGAGAGCUAACAUACCUCUGGGUUACUUCCAGCAUAUUAAAUGUAUCAGAAGGCAGGAACAUAAGGGACCUGAUUUUGCUCUUCAAUGUCAAAUUCCAUUAGCUUGUAAGAAGCAAGGAGGUAUCAUCCAUAAGAAGAGAAACUGCAUGUGUGGAAACCACUCCCUAGCUCAUGACUCUGCAGCCAAGAGCUUCCAAAUGCAGUGAGGGAGAUCUCUUGUCAAGCACCUGCACAACCUCUCCAACGGAGCAAUGAAACAAAAGCAGACGUUCUGCUUACAUCCACUUCAAUAUUUAAUAUGCACAAGUGGCUAAACUUCAUUAAGGUACUUACCUUGUAAUAGUAUCAGUAUUCAUCAGUACAGACGUAAAAUCCCGGAGAUGCAAUGCACAAGCAGGGUUCUGGGGCAUCACUUAAGAGUAGGCUCAGUGUUUCAGGGCAAGUGAGGAGUGCCACUGGGCAUCCAUGGACCAAUCUGAAAGAGCCCUCAGAGGGCUGCGGGACAGAGUGGCUAUC